AAUUAUCAAGAUUAUGGAGGCUUGAGAUCAUUGACUUUGGGAGCAUCACAGCCAAUAUUUGAAAAUUUGAGCAUUCAAUCAAUAUUUGAAAACACAAGUGCAAAUAAUAAAAAAACAUUGAAAAGGAAGUAUAUUAAAUCCUACUAGGAGUAUUAAUGGUUCUAUAUUAUAAAUGAAAUACACAAUCAAUUUCACCAAUUCAAUUCAACUCAACUACCAACCUUGUACAUGGAGCUUUAUUGUUUCAAUUUCCCUCCAACAAAACAUAAGAAAGAUAUAAACCGAUAAUUAAGA
RNAcentral lists this long non-coding RNA (294 nucleotides) under Cicer arietinum (chickpea). RNAcentral's name for it is "long non-coding RNA (CARI_LNC001059)". The record is from RNAcentral. Lineage: Eukaryota; Viridiplantae; Streptophyta; Magnoliopsida; Fabales; Fabaceae.